RNAcentral lists this ribosomal RNA (385 nucleotides) under Lactiplantibacillus plantarum. RNAcentral's name for it is "bacterial SSU rRNA". It matches the Rfam family "Bacterial small subunit ribosomal RNA", at positions 70 to 438 of the family's 1533-position model. Lineage: Bacteria; Bacillati; Bacillota; Bacilli; Lactobacillales; Lactobacillaceae. The record is from RNAcentral.
UCUUUUUCCCCGGAGCUUGCUCCACCGGAAAAAGAGGAGUGGCGAAUGGUGAGUAACACAUGGGUAACCUGCCCAUCAGAAGGGGAUAACACUUGGAAACAGGUGCUAAUACCGUAUAACAAUCGAAACCGCAUGGUUUUGAUUUGAAAGGCUCUUUCGGGUGUCGCUGAUGGAUGGACCCGCGGUGCAUUAGCUAGUUGGUGAGGUAACGGCUCACCAAGGCGACGAUGCAUAGCCGACCUGAGAGGGUGAUCGGCCACAUUGGGACUGAGACACUGCCCAAACUCCUACGGGAGGCAGCAAUAGGGAAUCUUCAAUCUGGACGAAAGUCUGACCGAUCACGCCGCGUGAGUGAAGAAGGUUUUCGGAUCGUAAAACUCUGUUG